RNAcentral lists this ribosomal RNA (407 nucleotides) under uncultured bacterium. RNAcentral describes it as "partial 16S ribosomal RNA". It matches the Rfam family "Bacterial small subunit ribosomal RNA", at positions 30 to 526 of the family's 1533-position model. The record is from RNAcentral.
AUUGAACGCUGGCGGCAGGCCUAACACAUGCAAGUCGAGCGGAGCGGCGGACGGGUGAGUAAUGCCUGGGAAUCUGCCUGGUAGUGGGGGAUAACGUCCGGAAACGGGCGCUAAUACCGCAUACUAUCAGAUGAGCCUAGGUCGGAUUAGCUAGUUGGUGGGGUAAAGUCCUACCAAGGAGACGAACCGUAACUGGUCUGAGAGGAGGAUCAGUCACCCUGGAACUGAGACACGGUCCAGACUCCUACGGGAGGCAGCAGUGGGGACUAUUGGCCAAUGGGCGAAAGCCUGCUCCAGCCAUGCCGCGUGUGUGAAGAAGGUCUUCGGAUUGUAAAGCACUUUAAGUUGGGAGGCGUUACCAACAGAAUAAGCACCGGCUAACUUCGUGCCAGCCGCCGCGGUAAUUC